GGGGUUGUGGCUCAGGGAUAGAGCACUUGCCUUGCAUGCGUGAGGCACUGGGUUCAAUCCUCAGCACCA
Molecule: transfer RNA, 69 nt
Filed under: Marmota marmota marmota (Alpine marmot)
Lineage: Eukaryota; Metazoa; Chordata; Mammalia; Rodentia; Sciuridae
Also listed under: 3 other names
Rfam family: tRNA
About the family: Transfer RNA (tRNA) molecules are approximately 80 nucleotides in length. Their secondary structure includes four short double-helical elements and three loops (D, anti-codon, and T loops).
Source: Rfam by way of RNAcentral